RNAcentral lists this transfer RNA (77 nucleotides) under Marichromatium gracile. RNAcentral's name for it is "tRNA-Ile". It matches the Rfam family "tRNA". Rfam says of the family: Transfer RNA (tRNA) molecules are approximately 80 nucleotides in length. Their secondary structure includes four short double-helical elements and three loops (D, anti-codon, and T loops). Further hydrogen bonds mediate the characteristic L-shaped molecular structure. tRNAs have two regions of fundamental functional importance: the anti-codon, which is responsible for specific mRNA codon recognition, and the 3' end, to which the tRNAs corresponding amino acid is attached (by aminoacyl-tRNA synthetases). tRNAs cope with the degeneracy of the genetic code in two manners: having more than one tRNA (with a specific anti-codon) for a particular amino acid; and 'wobble' base-pairing, i.e. permitting non-standard base-pairing at the 3rd anti-codon position. Lineage: Bacteria; Pseudomonadati; Pseudomonadota; Gammaproteobacteria; Chromatiales; Chromatiaceae. The record is from RNAcentral. RNAcentral also lists the same sequence under 59 other names.
GGGUCUGUAGCUCAGUUGGUUAGAGCGCACCCCUGAUAAGGGUGAGGUCGCUGGUUCAACUCCAGCCAGACCCACCA